Long non-coding RNA from Lepisosteus oculatus (spotted gar), 814 nucleotides. RefSeq lists it as uncharacterized. NCBI's taxonomy places the organism in Eukaryota, Metazoa, Chordata, Actinopteri, Semionotiformes, Lepisosteidae. The record is from RefSeq and is a predicted model, not a curated record.
CUGACCUUUCACAAACACCCAAUCCUGAGAGGAGGGUUUUUAGAAGAAAAAAGUUUGACUGUAGUCCCUCAUCUGCUCACAGCUUCCUCUUAUGCCUGUUGCUAGGAUCUUGCAGAAAGUUAAAGGGGUGGCCUUUCUCAUCCUCAGCCAAUCAUGAAAUGUUUUUUUUUUUUUGCAGCUGAACAGAAAACCCUCUCUUGGUCUUUCUGAAGUGCUAUGAUCUGCCUUUCUCAGAGACCGUCUCUUGCUAAUUCCCCUGUUGCAAAUAUGUUUGUAAUUUACAGAAGACUGGAGAGAAGGAAUCUUCAAUAAAAGGAGAGAAAAAGUACAGAGUAACUGAAGAUUUGGGACCAGAUUUUCCCCAACAUGGCCACUGUCCCCUCUCCAGGUUGCCUCCUAGCAAGAAAUCAGUUUUACAGAAGCCGAAUCAAAUCCUCUUGCAGUCAUUCCUCUGGGUGCUCAUCUCAACUAAAAGAAACACAAGAGGCACUUUCCCUGAAUACAUCUCCAUAUCAAGGACUGUCAGCCAUAAUGGACCGCCGGUGGUGGAUGAACAUGCUUUCAAGAAACACCCUAGACACAAAGAGUCUCAGCUCUGCUGAAAGAGGGAUGAAGUAGAAUUUCAAAAAAGUUGUCAGCCCUUCAAGGCAAAACUACCCAAACACUCCUGUAGGACACCACCUCAUAAUGGGAGAAAGUUUUACCUCUAAUUAUUUUGCCAAGUCUUUGAAGGACUGAAUGACUUUCCAUUUGGAAAACUAGGCAAUAGUCCAAGAUUCCAACUGUGUACUUGGGUAAAAAAAAAUUGAUAUCA